RNAcentral lists this ribosomal RNA (465 nucleotides) under Vreelandella stevensii. RNAcentral's name for it is "partial 16S ribosomal RNA". It matches the Rfam family "Bacterial small subunit ribosomal RNA", at positions 338 to 795 of the family's 1533-position model. The record is from RNAcentral. Lineage: Bacteria; Pseudomonadati; Pseudomonadota; Gammaproteobacteria; Oceanospirillales; Halomonadaceae.
CCUACGGGUGGCUGCAGUGGGGAAUAUUGGACAAUGGGGGCAACCCUGAUCCAGCCAUGCCGCGUGUGUGAAGAAGGCCCUCGGGUUGUAAAGCACUUUCAGUGAGGAAGAACGCCUGGUGGUUAAUACCCAUCGGGAAAGACAUCACUCACAGAAGAAGCACCGGCUAACUCCGUGCCAGCAGCCGCGGUAAUACGGAGGGUGCGAGCGUUAAUCGGAAUUACUGGGCGUAAAGCGCGCGUAGGUGGCUUGAUAAGCCGGUUGUGAAAGCCCCGGGCUCAACCUGGGAACGGCAUCCGGAACUGUCAAGCUAGAGUGCAGGAGAGGAAGGUAGAAUUCCCGGUGUAGCGGUGAAAUGCGUAGAGAUCGGGAGGAAUACCAGUGGCGAAGGCGGCCUUCUGGACUGACACUGACACUGAGGUGCGAAAGCGUGGGUAGCAAACAGGAUUAGAUACCCCAGUAGUC